Long non-coding RNA from Neopelma chrysocephalum (saffron-crested tyrant-manakin), 3088 nucleotides. RefSeq lists it as uncharacterized. The transcript is spliced from 4 exons. Lineage: Eukaryota; Metazoa; Chordata; Aves; Passeriformes; Pipridae. The record is from RefSeq and is a predicted model, not a curated record.
CUCUUGCUGUUGGCAGGGUUUCUGUCUCACUGCUCUGAAGCAUACAAAGUCCUUCUGAAAGCAGUGACUGUCGCUGCUCUCAGCCUUAAAGCAAAAAUUCAUUUGUAUGUUCUUGACAGGUUUUAGUAGUUACAGUGUUUGAUAAAUAAGGUUAAAAAAAUAGCAUGGCUAGAAACUUUUCCUUCCCCCAAAUUUGACUAAUUAUUAACACAACGGUUAAGUAAAUUCAAAUGUAGCAAAUAAACCCUGUAAUCCUCCAUAGUUUCAGAACUAUUUAAUAUACACUGUUCUUUCUGGCAAAGAACAAUUGUUAGAGGAAAAAUAGAGUGUACUUCACGUUGGGAGAGCAGGAUUUUUCAUCAAUAAAAGCCUGAGAACAUAGAAUUUACACAGAAGGAACUCUGGGACUGGAAACAGUGUGCAGUAGCAGUGUUACCAAAUAUGGGAGAAUCUGCAACCACUCUGGACCUGUAUCUCUGCACUGGGAAUGCAUAACAUAAAUGAAUUUCUUUUAAAUUUACUUUUUUUUGUUUGUUAUUCCAAUGGAGGAAAAUAAACAGUUCCCUUAUCCGUAGGGUGGUAGCAAGCCCUAACAAGGAAAAGCAGGGCACAUUCCUUCCUUCCUUCCUUUAUAACCAGUCACUGAAUUGCUCCCAACACAUUCCAGAUCUGGUAGAAUAGCUUAAUUGUCUUCACCUGGAGGCCACUGCCUGAAUUCCUGUCAGUUAAUAUAGCACCUCUGGAGUGAGACACUACGAUGUCUUUCUGAUGAAAGUGGGUUAAGCACCCAGCCCCAUGGUCAUGAGCAGUUUCAUAGGCUCAUUUGCAUAUGAAGAUUUAUGAGUUUCUUGGGUGUAACUGUGCCUAUAAAAGUUCGAGUCUAUAAGUGUCAUCAAACGUAAUUACUCCCUAAAGACUUAGAACAGAUACGAGAAAGAUGAAGAACUGUUUAUUGUAAUAAGUUGUGGUUAUGAGUGAAAUCUUUAAUUGCUUCCUUGCAAUGAAAGGUCUGCAUGGAGAAGGGAGUGUUGCUGGUUUGCUUUCACUGGUGUUGAAAAAGGUAAAUUUCUGUAACAAUUCAUGAUCAGGCGUGCAGUGUUAUUCCACAAGGCAGCUGAAAUUUUGCAAAGCUAUUCAGACAAUAAAAAAUUAUUGUCACAAAACAUUGUCAACCAGUAUUCUGGGUCAAAAUUUCUCAUUUCUGUAGUUACCAUUCACACAGAAUGUCAAGAGGGGUCUCAAGAUUCAAAUCCUAAAUGAGUAGUAAACCAAAAUAUUUAUACUUUUUUCCAAUUAGACAGUUAGACUAGAAACAUGAAAAUAUGUAACUGUAGGAACUCAAAACUAGUAGUUUUUCCUUCUUAUGCACUUGUUCUAUUCCUACCAUAUUUUAUGAAGUAUUUUGUAAUACAAUUUAAAAGCUCACUUGUGUUGCCUGAUUCUGCUCUCAGUGAAGUGAAACAUUCAUGUUGUUAUAGAUAAAAACUCUGGAAUAGAAUUGAAAACAGUUGUUUCCCUGAAAAUAUUUUUUCUUUGUGUAAAGAACUUAUUAUACCACAGGAAAGGAAUGGAAUACCUGUUUCUCAGGUGUCAUGUGCCAAUAUGCUUCUUCAUUACUCCCAAAACUACUGAAACAUUACCCAAAGUAGACCAGCAUUAGACUGGUUUACUAUUAUGAUAGCAGAAGGAAUAUGCUAAUUUAAUUAAUCUUUGGGAAAUUAAACUAAAAGAGAUCUGUAGAUCAUUAGCUCCAUAGUUGGACUACUGAAAUUAUUUUUGCACAAUGUGUUUUACAGGUAUUCCUGAAAAUCAAAGUUAUGAAGGCAAAGAGGACUAUGCUGUUUCAUCAGCAAUAAGCUCCUACUGUACAGAUGUUCACUUUAGCUGUAACUAGUCCACAGUCACCCCUAUACACAUAUGAGAUUUGAGAAUGAAGAUCAGAUGAGUAAAGAAAAUAGCAAACCCACCUGUAGAAUUUAAAUUAUCUGUCAAAUGUAGAUAUUGCCGGCCAUUCUGUACAUCAGAAUUCCCUGUAGCAUUUGGUUUUUUUAACUCAACUCGAGCAGCAGCUGAGUCAUGUACAAAUCUAACCCUGUGGCACCAUCCUGUGGCACACCUGGCACUUGCACGGCUCUUGUCUGCUCUUCCAGCUGCUGUUACCUGCCUGUGACUGUUCCACCAGCAGUGGUGGAGCAGAGGAUGGUGUGGAGCUUUAGUUUCAUGUCUCUUUCUGUGGCUAAGUAUCACAUUGGCUACUCUAGCAAAGUUUCACCUUGUUCUUGGGAAAGUGAUUUGAAGGGAAGGGAGUUUUCCCUACUCUCCUAAAGUUGAUUCAAAUAUACUAGUAUAUUAAUACAAAUUUAUAGUAUAAAUACAAAUAAAAUACAGAAUUGGGAGAUAUGUAUUUGAAGAAGAAAUACUCAGAUAGGCUGUAAAUAUUCGUUCAGUAAUUCUGAAAAAAAAUAGAAUAAGAUGACUGUGGGAUUGGUUCUGUGGGAAAUAUUGCCAGUAGACUCAGGGUGGUAUAUAACUGGAGAACAGGUAAUACGGCAUCUGGCUGUAAAAGGAAGGGAGAGAAGUGAUUCACGUCUCAAAAGUCCCUGAUUUUGAGUUGUCUGCAAUAAUUUAAAGCAAAUAGUGAAGUGGUGAAUAAUCAGAAUACACAAGAUUAUAUUUGAUUUAGCUGGACUUUCCUCAAAAAUAAUCUGAGGAAAUUGAUUGAUUUUCUAGGCAAAGACAAUGGGACACACUUUAUGGAAAUGAACCUUAAUAAAACACAUUAUAUGGUGCCACUCAGAAAUUUAUUAAGCUGAGAAAGCUGAUAAUUGUUAUAAGGAUUACAGUACAGCCAAGGAACUGGGUAAAAGCAGUAAGAUACUGAAUGAUUUUUAAUCAUGAAUCCAAUAUAGUCAUUAGUGACCUCACAUAAAUGGUACCAGUGCUCUGUUGACAAAAAUAAAAUUAGAAGAUAUCAUUAAUAUGAUGCAGAAAAAAAUGGUUGAUUCCAAGAAGUGGAAGUAUUGCAUUAUGUUGGAGGAGACUGUGUAGCUUUAAGGCAAAUCUUAGAUCACUUUAAUCAUUAUUCUCA